This 482-nucleotide ribosomal RNA is filed under the name uncultured bacterium. Its description in RNAcentral is "partial 16S ribosomal RNA". It matches the Rfam family "Bacterial small subunit ribosomal RNA", at positions 28 to 507 of the family's 1533-position model. The record is from RNAcentral.
GAUGAACGCUAGCGGCAGGCCUAAUACAUGCAAGUCGGACGGGAUUCAGGAGCUUGCUUCUGAUGAGAGUGGCGCACGGGUGCGUAACACGUAUGUAGCCUACCUUUAUCAGGGGGAUAGCCUCUCGAAAGAGAGAUUAAGCCCGCAUAAAAUCACAGCACAGCAUUGUGUAAUGAUCAAAUAUUUAUAGGAUAAAGAUGGGCAUGCGGAACAUUAGCUAGAUGGCGGGGUAACGGCCCACCAUGGCGACGAUGUUUAGGGGAUCUGAGAGGAUGGCCCCCCACACUGGUACUGAGACACGGACCAGACUCCUACGGGAGGCAGCAGUAAGGAAUAUUGGUCAAUGGGCGGAAGCCUGAACCAGCCAUGCCGCGUGCAGGAAGACGGCCCUACGGGUUGUAAACUGCUUUUAUACGGGAAUAAACCCAGAUACGUGUAUCUGGCUGAAUGUACUGUAAGAAUAAGGAUCGGCUAACUCCGUG